RNAcentral lists this small RNA (466 nucleotides) under Pongo abelii (Sumatran orangutan). RNAcentral describes it as "processed transcript". The record is from RNAcentral. Lineage: Eukaryota; Metazoa; Chordata; Mammalia; Primates; Hominidae.
GGUGCAUCCCUACAAGUCCAUCCUGAGCGAGCUCAAGGCCCUGUGUGCUGACCUUUCCCCAAGGGAGAAGGUGUGGGUCAGUGACAAGGCCAGCUAUGCUGUGAGCGAGACCAUCCCCAAGGACCACCGCUGCUGUAUGCCUUACACCCCCAUCUGCAUCGCCAAAGCUGUGAAGAAUUCAGCUGAGUCAGAAGGCAUGAGGCGGGCUCACAUUAAAGAUGCUGUUGCCCUCUGUGAACUCUUUAACUGGCUGGAGAAAGAGGUUCCCAAAGGUGGUGUGACAGAGAUCUCAGCUGCUGACAAAGCUGAGGAGUUUCGCAGGCAACAGGCAGACUUUGUGGACCUGAGCUUCCCAACAAUUUCCAGUACGGGACCCAACGGCGCCAUCAUUCACUACGCGUAAGGCAUGCGGAGGAGCAUGCUGCCUGGCAUUGCUGCUUCUGCACAGGAGCCUGAGCAGGGGAGA